Molecule: ribosomal RNA, 263 nt
Filed under: uncultured bacterium
Lineage: Bacteria
Description: partial 16S ribosomal RNA
Rfam family: Bacterial small subunit ribosomal RNA
Source: RNAcentral
GUCCUACGGGACGCAGCAGUGGGGAAUAUUGCACAAUGGGGGAAACCCUGAUGCAGCGACGCCGCGUGAGUGAAGAAGUAUCUCGGUAUGUAAAGCUCUAUCAGCAGGGAAGAAAAUGGCGGUACCUGACUAAGAAGCCCCGGCUAACUACGUGCCAGCAGCCGCGGUAAUACGUAGGGGGCAAGCGUUAUCCGGAUUUACUGGGUGUAAAGGGAGCGUAGACGGCGCUGCAAGUCCGGAGUGAAAGCCCAUGGCUUAACCAU